This 494-nucleotide ribosomal RNA is filed under the name uncultured bacterium. RNAcentral describes it as "partial 16S ribosomal RNA". It matches the Rfam family "Bacterial small subunit ribosomal RNA", at positions 28 to 507 of the family's 1533-position model. The record is from RNAcentral.
GACGAACGCUGGCGGCGUGCUUAACACAUGCAAGUCGAACGGUGAAGCGCCUUCCUUUUUGGUGGGUGUGGAUGAGUGGCGAACGGGUGAGUAACACGUGAGUAACCUGCCCCCUUCUUCUGGAUAACCGCAUGAAAGUGUGGCUAAUACGGGAUAUUCUGGGUCUGUCGCAUGAUGGGUCUGGGAAAGAUAUUGUUUCGGUGGGGGAUGGGCUCGCGGCCUAUCAGCUUGUUGGUGGGGUGAUGGCCUACCAAGGCGGUGACGGGUAGCCGGCCUGAGAGGGUGGACGGUCACACUGGGACUGACACACGGCCCAGACUCCUACGGGAGGCAGCAGUGGGGAAUAUUGCACAAUGGGCGCAAGCCUGAUGCAGCGACGCCGCGUGAGGGAUGGAGGCCUUCGGGUUGUGAACCUCUUUCGCCAGUGAAGCAGGCCUGCCUCGUUUGUGGGUGGGUUGACGGUAGCUGGAGAAGAAGCGCCGGCUAACUACGUG